UAUCUAUGUUAUUCAGAUUCGGGGUGAAUGUUUCACCGCUUUAUAAGUGACUGUUGCUGCAGUUCGAGCGACAGUAAAAGAUGGUGCAAUGUGGUAUGUACUGUUAACUGGUGGAGUAUGGUCUUAAGAAUUGGAAGUGUGGCACCAAAUGGGGCAAUGAGCCUUCAUCCAAACCAAAGCUAUUGUCUGAAGGUGGAACAUUUGUCCUGGUGGAAAUUCACUGCAAGUACAAUUGAUUGUGUGCAACUAAAAGAAAAAAUUACAUCAGCAGUAUAACAACCUGUGUUACUAUAGUGCAAUGGCACAGCCAAAAUAGAGGAGGCAGAAGACAGAGAACUUAUUAGGUCUUCGUGCUCGCUCUCAAACACAGGUACAUCCAAUGGGUACGACUAAAAUUGUAACAUACCCAUCUCCCCCCACCUCCUUUUCCUGUACCAUGUUCUGCCGAUGACCCGUUGAAGGGAAUGGAAAGGCAAAUGUGGUGUUUUGGGAAGUUCUCCUGAUCCCAGGUAGUCAUAGUCCAUUAGCAGACACUCAGCUUUCCUUAAACCUCCUAUUCUGCUUCUAGAUAGCUCCAGGCAGCCACCCUCAUGCAAAGGUACUCCAGCCCACAAAGCCCCAUUGAGUGGUAACGGCUCCAACACAGCAACUUGUUUCAAAGGGCAUGGGGUCAUGGGUCCAGUACCAACCAAAGAAUUGAUCUAAGUGUUUUUUUGGGUGGGGCAGUUAAGGAGAUGAGUGAUGCACACUGCACCCGAGUUGACAGUUGAUGUAGCUUAGCUGAACCAGGCCACUCCCACACCACUAACCACUGUUCCAGAGAUUUCUUUUAAUGGUUCCUGGCAAAUUCACACUUUUUUGGUGUGUUACUGUAUUGGAGGAAGAAAUGCAAUGUAAUAAAUAAAAACCUAAAUUCUAUGCACUAACCCUGUGAAAUUUUAAAACUUUAUAAAUAUUCCAGUAUCCAAAUCUAACUGCUAAAAUACUAGCCACCAUAAUCAUACUAUAUACCCUGGUAUAAAUUAUAUUGCAUAGCUCCCCUUUCAGCUGCACGCUUUGUAGAGUGUAAUUUCCAGAGGUUUCAUCUCCCUGUCCUUCCUUCAAAAUGCUGUCAUCUUGCUAUUACAAAAAAGUCCACCUUCAUUCCCAGAAAGUCUGUUCAUGUUUUGUAAAGAUGUACUAUGCUUGAAAUCAAAAUAAGAGGCUGGAAUAAAAAGCAAAAUACUACAGGUGCUGGAAAUCUGAAAUACAAGGUUGAGUCAUAUUGGACUCAACGUUAGGAUCUCUAAAGAGAAAUAGAGUUAUGUUUCCAAACAAAAACAAGGGUUGGAAAUGCCAAUCAGUUGGCAGUAGAAAAAGCGAUGCCAAGUUUUAAUGUUUCAGAACUGAAAUUUUGACUCCCACCACUCCCCUACAAAAUUCAGAUUUCCUUCACUGUCUUGAUUUCAAGUUUUGAGCAUCUGAAGUUUGCUUUUGGCUACACUAAGUUGUUUGUAUUUACUAUGUUAAGCUACAUGUAUUUAUACAAUGCUGCUAAUGUAAAAUAAAGCAAUCAAAGCAA
Carcharodon carcharias (great white shark) is the source of this 1561-nucleotide long non-coding RNA. RefSeq lists it as uncharacterized. The transcript has 2 exons. The record is from RefSeq and is a predicted model, not a curated record. NCBI's taxonomy places the organism in Eukaryota, Metazoa, Chordata, Chondrichthyes, Lamniformes, Lamnidae.